RNAcentral lists this non-coding RNA (909 nucleotides) under Perkinsus marinus ATCC 50983. RNAcentral describes it as "Eukaryotic small subunit ribosomal RNA". It matches the Rfam family "Eukaryotic small subunit ribosomal RNA", at positions 1 to 1284 of the family's 1831-position model. The record is from Rfam by way of RNAcentral. Lineage: Eukaryota; Perkinsozoa; Perkinsida; Perkinsidae.
UUUUGAUCCUUCGAUGUCGGCUCUUCCUAUCAUUGAGACGCAGAAGUCUCAAAGUGUCGGAUUGUUCACCCGCCAAUAGGGAACGUGAGCUGGGUUUAGACCGUCGUGAGACAGGUUAGUUUUACCCUACACUAAUGAGUAGAUUUUAAAUCUCUUUACGAGUAUCAAUUGGAGGGCAAGUCUGGUGCCAGCAGCCGCGGUAAUUCCAGCUCCAAUAGCGUAUAUUAAAGUUGUUGCGGUUAAAAAGCUCGUAGUUGGAUUUCUGCCUUGGGCGACCGAUCCACCUUUCCUACGGGAUUGGUUGGUAUCAGGUUUGACCUUGGCUUUUUCUUGGGAUUCGUGCUCACGUACUUAACUGUGCGUUGACCGUGUUCCAAGACUUUUACUUUGAGGAAAUUAGAGUGUUUCAAGCAGGCUUAUGCCAUGAAUACAUUAGCAUGGAAUAAUAGGAUAUGACUUCGGUCAUAUUUUGUUGGUUUCUAGGACUGAAGUAAUGAUUAAUAGGGACAGUCGGGGGCAUUCGUAUUUAACUGUCAGAGGUGAAAUUCUUGGAUUUGUUAAAGACGAACUACUGCGAAAGCAUUUGCCAAGGAUGUUUUCAUUGAUCAAGAACGAAAGUUAGGGGAUCGAAGACGAUCAGAUACCGUCCUAGUCUUAACCAUAAACUAUGCCGACUAGGGAUUGGGGGUCGUUAAUUUUAGACGCCCUCAGCACCUCGUGAGAAAUCAAAGUCUUUGGGUUCCGGGGGGAGUAUGGUCGCAAGGCUGAAACUUAAAGGAAUUGACGGAAGGGCACCACCAGGAGUGGAGCCUGCGGCUUAAUUUGAUUCAACACGGGAAAACUCACCAGGUCCAGACAUAGGAAGGAUUGACAGAUUGAUAGCUCUUCUGAUCUAUGGGUGGUGGUGCA